UGCCUCAGUAACGGCGAGUGAAGCGGCAACAGCUCAAAUUUGAAAUCUGGCUCUCUCAGGGUCCGAGUUGUAAUUUGUAGAAGAUGCUUUGAGUGUGGCUCCGGUCUAAGUUCCUUGGAACAGGGCGUCAUAGAGGGUGAGAAUCCCGUACGUGACUGGGUGCCUUCGCUCGUGUAAAGCUCUUUCGACGAGUCGAGUUGUUUGGGAAUGCAGCUCAAAAUGGGUGGUAAAUUUCAUCUAAAGCUAAAUAUUGGCCAGAGACCGAUAGCGCACAAGUAGAGUGAUCGAAAGAUGAAAAGCACUUUGGAAAGAGAGUUAAACAGUACGUGAAAUUGUUGAAAGGGAAGCGCUUGCAACCAGACUUGCGCGCUGUUGAUCAUCCGAGCUUCUGCCCGGUGCACUCGAUAGCGUUCAGGCCAGCAUCGGUUUUGGUGGGCGGAUAAAGGCCUUGGGAAUGUAGCUUCUUUCGGGGAGUGUUAUAGCCCUCGGUGCAAUGCGCCCUACCGGGACCGAGGACCGCGCUUCGGCUAGGAUGCUGGCGUAAUGGUUGUAAGCGACCCGUCUUGAAACACGGACCAAGGAGUCUAACAUCUAUGCGAGUGUUUGGGUGUCAAACCCAUACGCGUAAUGAAAGUGAACGGAGGUGAGAACCCUUAAGGGUGCAUCAUCGACCGAUCCUGAUGUCUUCGGAUGGAUUUGAGUAAGAGCAUAGCUGUUGGGACCCGAAAGAUGGUGAACUAUGCCUGAAUAGGGUGAAGCCAGAGGAAACUCUGGUGGAGGCUCGCAGCGGUUCUGACGUGCAAAUCGAUCGUCAAAUUUGGGUAUAGGGGCGAAAGACUAAUCGAACCA
This 849-nucleotide ribosomal RNA is filed under the name Hyaloscypha fuckelii. RNAcentral describes it as "LSU rRNA". It matches the Rfam family "Eukaryotic large subunit ribosomal RNA", at positions 76 to 942 of the family's 3401-position model. The record is from RNAcentral. Lineage: Eukaryota; Fungi; Ascomycota; Leotiomycetes; Helotiales; Hyaloscyphaceae.